GACGAACGCUGGCGGCGUGCUUAACACAUGCAAGUCGAACGGAAAGGCCCUGCUUUUGUGGGGUGCUCGAGUGGCGAACGGGUGAGUAACACGUGAGUAACCUGCCCUUGACUUUGGGAUAACUUCAGGAAACUGGGGCUAAUACCGGAUAGGAGCUCCUGCUGCAUGGUGGGGGUUGGAAAGUUUCGGCGGUUGGGGAUGGACUCGCGGCUUAUCAGCUUGUUGGUGGGGUAGUGGCUUACCAAGGCUUUGACGGGUAGCCGGCCUGAGAGGGUGACCGGCCACAUUGGGACUGAGAUACGGCCCAGACUCCUACGGGAGGCAGCAGUGGGGAAUAUUGCACAAUGGGCGGAAGCCUGAUGCAGAAACGCGGCGUGCGGGAUGACGGCCUUCGGGUUGUAAACCGCUUUCGCCUGUGACGAAGCGUGAGUGACGGUAAUGGGUAAAGAAGCACCGGCUAACUACGU
This 467-nucleotide ribosomal RNA is filed under the name uncultured bacterium. RNAcentral describes it as "partial 16S ribosomal RNA". It matches the Rfam family "Bacterial small subunit ribosomal RNA", at positions 28 to 506 of the family's 1533-position model. The record is from RNAcentral.